GUCCACGCCGUAAACGAUGGCAACUAGAUGUGGGGGGUGUCGACUCCCCCCGUGUCGAAGCUAACGCAUUAAGUUGCCCGCCUGGGGAGUACGGCCGCAAGGCUAAAACUCAAAGGAAUUGACGGGGGCCCGCACAAGCAGCGGAGCAUGUGGUUUAAUUCGACGCGACGCGAAGAACCUUACCUGGGCUUGACAUGUGAGUGACAAGUGUGGAAACACACUCUCCCUUCGGGGCACUUUCACAGGUGGUGCAUGGCUGUCGU
Molecule: ribosomal RNA, 263 nt
Filed under: uncultured bacterium
Lineage: Bacteria
Description: partial 16S ribosomal RNA
Rfam family: Bacterial small subunit ribosomal RNA
Source: RNAcentral